RNAcentral lists this ribosomal RNA (21 nucleotides) under Mnium spinosum. RNAcentral describes it as "partial 28S ribosomal RNA". The record is from RNAcentral. Lineage: Eukaryota; Viridiplantae; Streptophyta; Bryopsida; Bryales; Mniaceae.
AGACCUCUAUCCGGGAAAAGA